This 687-nucleotide long non-coding RNA is filed under the name Numida meleagris (helmeted guineafowl). RNAcentral describes it as "lncRNA (ENSNMEG00000016468.1)". The record is from RNAcentral. Lineage: Eukaryota; Metazoa; Chordata; Aves; Galliformes; Numididae.
CCUGUGGUCACCAUGUGGUCCAUCUAUUUUUUCAGCAUUACCCUGAAGCAAUGAAAAUAGCUCCAGGGAAGGAGAUAGGUUAGGCUUUGUAUGACUGUUUUUCUGGUCCUCAUCUCCAGGAAGGCCCAUCCUGUGCCUUCAUCUGCCCCCUGAAUGAGAAAUUUUCCAUGUUGACUCCUUCCCUAGGUCCUCCCAGGAUGGUACUGACAGUGAAUUGCAACUGAGCGAGCAAAGGGAAGAGGACACACUUUUGAUCUUUUUUUUUUUUUUUUUUUUUCCAGCCAGCAUCAAUAAGGAGCAGGUUUUAGAGGGUGGAGCAUCUGACCUGUCUAAUUUUAUCGGAUUGCCACUGUGUAGUGCUGUACUCACGGUCACGUGGAAACUGCUGAGGGAAAAGGCCUUUCUGAAAUAUCAGACUGACUUCCUUUUGGGGUGUGGAAACAGAGACCUAAGACAUGCAAGAACACCAUGGAAGAUGCAUUUCCUUUGCCCACUGUUUGGAAGACUCAUUUAUAUUGCUCAGAGAUGUAUAAAGAUGUGGUGGGGCAUGAGGGGGAAGAAGGGAGGAGAGAGGAGAUAGCAGGAGGAGUGUUCCAGUGUUGAUCAGGAUGCAGUAACUAAUAACCCAAGCAGAACCAUAAAGAAAAACAAAAUGUUCAGACUGCUGAGAUGAAUAAGGGAGUCAAG